CAGUUCCUGUCUAUCCAUGCGGUCUGCCUCUUGCUCCUGAAAUCUCUAGACAUCUCGCAUCUUACCGAGCUGUUUUCUCUGUCUUAGCCACCGCCCAGCGCCAGGGCGCCAGGGCCUGCAACUGGCCUGAAGACUGAUGGAACUGUCCUUGUGAUGGAGUUGCUGGUUCUGCAGCAGCUACUGCCCUUCUUCUCUUGCAAGCCCAGGUCCAGGACCCUCACUCCCUCGUGGGCUUCUGUUCAGGGAGAGGAUGUCCCUGGCCUGUGUUUGACACUGCUAAAGAAACAGCACACUCAAGACUGUCACGGCCUCAGCAUCCUAUUGAAUGAAGCACUUCGUAACGGUUGGCAUAGCCGGUAGAACAAACAUGUCACCCCUGCCUUGGAAGACCUCCAGUCCCUCUCCUAGAGGAUUGUCAGCUGGUGGGUCCAGUGGCCCUAUGUCUUCAAGAAGAAGCUGGGCCAGGACACAUGUAAGGUCUCUCAUGAUCCAGAGGCUGUCAAAGGAGCCAAGCCUGCGGAGUCCAAGACCUUCAGGAAGGCUUGGAAACCAAGUGUGCUGAC
RNAcentral lists this long non-coding RNA (563 nucleotides) under Castor canadensis (American beaver). RNAcentral describes it as "lncRNA (ENSCCNG00000012297.1)". Lineage: Eukaryota; Metazoa; Chordata; Mammalia; Rodentia; Castoridae. The record is from RNAcentral.